AUGUCAAUCUGCAAUAAACAAAGCAUUAUAUCUAUUACUAGUCAUUCAAAAUUAAACCUUGUGGCUCUGACAGAGACGUGGAUCAAUACGGACGACACUGCUACUCCUGCAGCAAUCUCCAGUAAUUUACAAUUUUCCCACACUCCCCAUCUGACUGGAAGAGGUGGAGGUACUGGUCUGCUAAUGAUCUCUAAUGAUUGAUAAUGUAUUCCUUUACCUUCUCUGGGUAUUAACAGAUCAUUUGAGUCACAUUCAGUUACUAUUACACGCCCUUUUAAAAUCCAUUUUGUAGUUGUUUAUCAACACCGGCACCACAAGGUUACUUGUUGGAUGAAUUAGAUGUGCUGCUCUCAAGCAUUCCUGAGGAUGGUACUCCCCUAGUUUUGCUUGGAGACUUCAACUUCCACUUAUAUAAACAUGCUGCAGACUUCCACACUCUGCUUGCCUCUUUUGAUCCCAAGGGCGUGUUAAAAAUCAGGCAGCUCACAAAUCAGGCAACCAACUGGACCUUAUUUACACUCAACACUGAUCCACUGAUCAAUGCACACCUCAAGUCCCUGCAUCUCCACUGCACACCUUGGGUCCCUUCCUCCUCACUCUUAACCUCAACAUGGUUCCUGACACAACACAUACCCCUCCACUGGCUGCACAAUACCAGGGACCCCCACAACAUGCUAAAAUCCACAUCAGAACACCCCAUGCACCAACACUACACCACCCCAGAUCUACACCAGUCCAUCAGCAGAAACCCCAGUUUGCACCACAUCACCAUCCAAGACACCCACCACCACAAAAACAUCACUCCAGGCAGAAAAAAAAACUCUAGGAAGAGCCCAACAGCAGCAGCAGCAACCAGCCUUCCACCCGGUCAUGCAGCCUCAGCUGAUAACACACGGAACCCAGCACCACUCCCACACUCCAGUAGCUACGGUCAGGCCCUGAAAGGACAAGCAAAUACACUGGAGAUGAGUGAGAUCAGAGAGCUGCUGAACUACAUCAGUGCCCAGCUGACAGAAUGAGAGUCCACACAGCAUGCAAACACCUGCCUAACAAUGACAAAAAAACAUAUACUAUAUUACAU
Molecule: long non-coding RNA, 1081 nt
Filed under: Carassius auratus (goldfish)
Lineage: Eukaryota; Metazoa; Chordata; Actinopteri; Cypriniformes; Cyprinidae
Description: lncRNA (ENSCARG00000003623.1)
Source: RNAcentral